This 1126-nucleotide unclassified non-coding RNA is filed under the name Hevea brasiliensis (rubber tree). Lineage: Eukaryota; Viridiplantae; Streptophyta; Magnoliopsida; Malpighiales; Euphorbiaceae. The record is from RNAcentral.
CUUGUUCAACAUGCAAAGACCUCUACCAUACGCGGUGCCUAGAGCCAGCAUCACUUGAUGUGAAUGAUGCAGAAGUCUAUAUUUGCCCUUAUUGUCAUUUUUGUGAGGAUCCAUCAAUGAUUCAAAAUGAGAGAUAUGGGGUGAGGCAACCUGAGUUAAGUAUGCUGAUCAAACAUUUAUCUGAUGCAGAACAUUUCUCUCUAGGGAUUGAAGAAAUAGAUACAUUACGACAGGUUGUGGAGCAAGCUCGGGAAUGCAAAACAUGCUUGAGAGAAAUAUUGGAUUUUGAAUUAUCGUAUUUGGGGAAAGAUCUUAAUGUUAUCUCUAGAAAAAUGAUUAUUGCUUUGAAGGUCAUGCGAGUAGCAGGUGUUCAUGAUCAUCAAGGUAACUAUGGCCUUGAACAGGCGUUAGCAAGAAAUUCCUGGAGAGUGAAGUCUAAGAGAUUAUUAGAGAGUAUACAGAAUCCCACAAUGCAACAGAUUGAGCAGCUUAUGAAAGAGGGACUGGCUGUGAAUAUACCUGCUGAAGAUUACUUCCUACAAAAAGUCACAGAGUUAAAGCACAUUGGUUUGCAGUGGGCAGAUCAUGCCAAGAAGGUCGCAUCAGAUUCUGGGGCUCUUGGUUUGGAUCAAGUUUUUGAACUUAUUUCAGAAGUUGAAAAUUUGCCAGUUUACUUGGAGAAGGAACUGAAGUUAUUGAGAACUCGAAGUAUGGUGUACUGCAUUUGUCGGAAACCAUAUGAUGAUAGACCAAAAGUUACUUGUGAUCGAUGUGAUGAGUGGUAUCAUGUUGAUUGUAUUAAGUUACUCUGCCCUCCAAAGAUCUAUGUUUGCGCUGCAUGUGAACCUCAAAAAAUGGAGUUAUCUACAUCAUCGCAAAUGGAUAAUGAGAGAUUGACAAGUGCCAAGCCUGUAGAACCAAAAAAACUUUCUCCACAGCACACAGAAUGGAAAAAGAAGCCCCUGGAGACCAAGUUUACAACUAGUAAUAGCAAAUUUGUUCGAACAAGUGGAAUUGAUCGAUUGUGGUGGCGAAACAGGAAGCCUUUUAGAAGAGAGGCCAAAAAAAGGGCUGAGCUUGAAAGUCUUUCUCCAUUUUUUCGUAUACAACAACAAUAAAGGAAGAA